Molecule: non-coding RNA, 67 nt
Filed under: Rhizorhabdus wittichii
Lineage: Bacteria; Pseudomonadati; Pseudomonadota; Alphaproteobacteria; Sphingomonadales; Rhizorhabdaceae
Source: RNAcentral
AGGCGAAACCGGGCUCCGGCCCGGUCCGCGCGCCAUGGGCGAGCGCGCGCUGAUGAGCCCGCCCACG